Molecule: long non-coding RNA, 554 nt
Organism: Ictalurus punctatus (channel catfish)
Lineage: Eukaryota; Metazoa; Chordata; Actinopteri; Siluriformes; Ictaluridae
Source: Ensembl
GAAUCAGUGAAGUUAAGUUGAAUGAGAUUGACUAGACUGACUAGGGCUAAAAAUGCCACGUUCCCACAUUCAGCUUUUGGUUAAUUUGUGUAGGCGAAUAUUUAUCAAGCAUAAAUGCCCUUAACAUGGCUCGGUAUUGUCACUGUGCCAUGCAAAAAGACUAGUCAUGUUCACAUCAGAUCAGGUAUGAGACAUUGUAUGUCAUGUUCUCUAUUGCUCAAAAGCUUAGCACUGUAAAAACAAAGAAAAGGAAAACUUCUAAUCUGCAGUUUUUCUUUACUGAGCUUUUACACAAUAUCCGAGGCAGCAGUGACUUUGGGAGUUGUCACCAGGAAUAUUUCUGUAGAAUAUUCCAUGAGGCAAAAGCUACCAGCCAGCGUUCAUCCUACACAGGGUCAUGGGGAGCUUGGAGUCUAUCCCAGGGAACUCAGGGCACAAGGCAAGGGACACCCUGGACAGAAGCAGGCCACUGCAGGGUAGAAUCACACACACAUUCACACACUACGGACAAUUUAGAAAUGCCAAUCAGCCUACAAUGCAACUUUGGACUGGGG